This 250-nucleotide ribosomal RNA is filed under the name uncultured prokaryote. RNAcentral describes it as "partial 16S rRNA". It matches the Rfam family "Bacterial small subunit ribosomal RNA", at positions 525 to 775 of the family's 1533-position model. The record is from RNAcentral.
ACGUAGGUGGCGAGCGUUGUCCGGAAUUAUUGGGCGUAAAGGGCGCGUAGGUGGCUAUACAAGUCUGAUUUAAAAGAGCUGGGCUCAACUCGGUGAUGGGUUAGAAACUGUAUGACUUGAGUGCAGGAGAGGUAGGCGGAAUUCCUAGUGUAGCGGUGAAAUGCGUAGAUAUUAGGAGGAACACCAGUGGCGAAGGCGGCUUUCUGGACUGCAACUGGCACUGAGGCGCGAAAGCCAGGGGAGCAAACGG